GAUGAACGCUGGCGGCGUGCCUAAUACAUGCAAGUCGAGCGAACGGACGAGAAGCUUGCUUCUCUGAUGUUAGCGGCGGACGGGUGAGUAACACGUGGAUAACCUACCUAUAAGACUGGGAUAACUUCGGGAAACCGGAGCUAAUACCGGAUAAUAUUUUGAACCGCAUGGUUCAAAAGUAAAAGACGGUCUUGCUGUCACUUAUAGAUGGAUCCGCGCUGCAUUAGCUAGUUGGUAAGGUAACGGCUUACCAAGGCAACGAUGCAUAGCCGACCUGAGAGGGUGAUCGGCCCAACUGGAACUGGGACCCGGUCCAGACUCCUACGGGAGGCAGCAGUAGGGAAUCUUCCGCAAUGGGCGAAAGCCUGACGGAGCAACGCCGCGUGAGGGAUGAAGGUCUUCGGAUCGUAAAACUCUGUUAUUAGGGAAGAACAUAUGUGUAAGUAACUGUGCACAUCUUGACGGUACCUAAUCAGAAAGCCACGGCUAACUACGUG
Molecule: ribosomal RNA, 497 nt
Filed under: uncultured bacterium
Lineage: Bacteria
Description: partial 16S ribosomal RNA
Rfam family: Bacterial small subunit ribosomal RNA
Source: RNAcentral